CGGCGACAAAGGCCCCCGGAAGCUCCUGGGAUUUAGGAAACGUAGACGAUGUUUGUAAUUGAAAAAAUACCCCAAAAAGCAUGGACUCAUCGCAGUUAAGAUCUUGAAAAAAUAAUCAUAGGUUUAUUUUAGUUUCAUGGUUUGACAAGUCGGCUUCUUUCAUUGUUCCAAUAUCGGGAUAUGGAGGAUCACAUGACGAUUUUGUCGAACUUAGACUAGAAGUGCUUGCUGUAGGACUUUCAGAAAAAGAGCUGGAACAUGGCUCAGCUUCCUGUGGUGGUUUAGUAACACUCCGUUUAAAAUAUUCAUCAAUCUUCUUCAUUUUGUAAUUUGAUCGGUUUCACAACUUGCCGGAACAAUAAUAGAGAAAAACAUGCCGUAACGACAACGGUUUAGACCCGGAAAGGUGUAAC
Long non-coding RNA from Ostrea edulis (European flat oyster), 413 nucleotides. RefSeq lists it as uncharacterized. The transcript has 2 exons. NCBI's taxonomy places the organism in Eukaryota, Metazoa, Mollusca, Bivalvia, Ostreida, Ostreidae. The record is from RefSeq and is a predicted model, not a curated record.